GAUGAACGCUGGCGGCGUGCCUAAUACAUGCAAGUCGAGCGAACAGACGAGGAGCUUGCUCCUCUGACGUUAGCGGCGGACGGGUGAGUAACACGUGGAUAACCUACCUAUAAGACUGGGAUAACUUCGGGAAACCGGAGCUAAUACCGGAUAAUAUAUUGAACCGCAUGGUUCAAUAGUGAAAGACGGUUUUGCUGUCACUUAUAGAUGGAUCCGCGCCGCAUUAGCUAGUUGGUAAGGUAACGGCUUACCAAGGCGACGAUGCGUAGCCGACCUGAGAGGUGAAUCGGCAACAUUGGACCUGAGCAACGGUCCAACUUCUACGGGGAGGCAGCGGUAGGAAAUUUUCCGAAAGGGGGGAAACCCUGCGGGGGAACCGCGGGGGGAGUGAUGAAGGUUUGCGAACGGUAAAACUCUGUUAUAGGGGAAAAACAAAUGUGUAGUAACUAUGCACGUCUUGACGGUACCUAAUCAGAAAGCCACGGCUAACUACGUG
This 496-nucleotide ribosomal RNA is filed under the name uncultured bacterium. Its description in RNAcentral is "partial 16S ribosomal RNA". It matches the Rfam family "Bacterial small subunit ribosomal RNA", at positions 28 to 507 of the family's 1533-position model. The record is from RNAcentral.